UAAGUUUGCCUGAAGAGAAUGCAGAUGAAC
RNAcentral lists this non-coding RNA (30 nucleotides) under Homo sapiens (human). Lineage: Eukaryota; Metazoa; Chordata; Mammalia; Primates; Hominidae. The record is from RNAcentral.